Molecule: ribosomal RNA, 451 nt
Filed under: uncultured bacterium
Lineage: Bacteria
Description: partial 16S ribosomal RNA
Rfam family: Bacterial small subunit ribosomal RNA
Source: RNAcentral
AACGAACGCUGGCGGCAGGCUUAACACAUGCAAGUCGAGCGGGCAUAGCAAUAUGUCAGCGGCAGACGGGUGAGUAACGCGUGGGAAUCUACCCAACCCUACGGAAUAACGCAUGGAAACGUGUGCUAAUACCGUAUACGCCCUGACGGGGAAAGAUUUAUCGGGGAUGGAUGAGCCCGCGUUGGAUUAGCUAGUUGGUGGGGUAAAGGCCUACCAAGGCGACGAUCCAUAGCUGGUCUGAGAGGAUGAUCAGCCACAUUGGGACUGAGACACGGCCCAAACUCCUACGGGAAGCAGCAGUGGGGAAUAUUGGACAAUGGGCGCAAGCCUGAUCCAGCCAUGCCGCGUGAGUGAUGAAGGCCCUAGGGUUGUAAAGCUCUUUCACCGGAGAAGAUAAUGACGGUAUCCGGAGAAGAAGCCCCGGCUAACUUCGUGCCAGCAGCCGCGGUAA